GUCCCCCGGCGCCGGCGACACUGUCCCCGACCUCUGGCUGAAGUCCUCCUCAUCGGAGAAAUCGGCGGAGGACGACAUGGAGCAUCGUGUGGAGGUACCUCUGAGUAAUGUGUACACAGAGCUAUUGAGCACAAGUUUCCUGCUCACUUAGAUGGUGAGCUUCCACUAUAGGCUGUGUUUCCUCAAGGCGAGGUGCUGCACGUCUUCGAGCAUGACGAGG
This is a long non-coding RNA of Empidonax traillii (willow flycatcher), 220 nucleotides long. RefSeq lists it as uncharacterized. The transcript is spliced from 3 exons. NCBI's taxonomy places the organism in Eukaryota, Metazoa, Chordata, Aves, Passeriformes, Tyrannidae. The record is from RefSeq and is a predicted model, not a curated record.